AGCGUAUAUUAAAGUUGUUGCAGUUAAAAAGCUCGUAGUUGGAUUUCUGUUAAUAUUUUAUAUUAUUAAUUUAUUAUUAUUAAUAUAAUAUUAACAUAAUUCAUAUUACUUUUUUUGAGUAUAUGAAAUUUUACUUUGAGAAAAUUAGAGUGCUUAAAGCAGGCUUUUGCCUUGAAUACUCCAGCAUGGAAUAAUAUUAAAGAUUUUUAUCUUUCUUAUUGGUUCUAAGAUAGAAAUAAUGAUUAAUAGGGACAGUUGGGGGCAUUUGUAUUUAACAGUCAGAGGUGAAAUUCUUAGAUUUGUUAAAGACAAACUAAUGCGAAAGCAUUUGCCAAGGAUGUUUUCAUUAAUCAAGAACGAAAGUUAGGGGAUCGAAGACGAUCAGAUACCGUCGUAGUC
RNAcentral lists this ribosomal RNA (399 nucleotides) under Cryptosporidium sp. RNAcentral's name for it is "SSU rRNA". It matches the Rfam family "Eukaryotic small subunit ribosomal RNA", at positions 596 to 1025 of the family's 1831-position model. The record is from RNAcentral. Lineage: Eukaryota; Apicomplexa; Conoidasida; Eucoccidiorida; Cryptosporidiidae.